RNAcentral lists this ribosomal RNA (421 nucleotides) under uncultured bacterium. RNAcentral's name for it is "partial 16S ribosomal RNA". It matches the Rfam family "Bacterial small subunit ribosomal RNA", at positions 359 to 772 of the family's 1533-position model. The record is from RNAcentral.
GAAUUUUGGACAAUGGGCGAAAGCCUGAUCCAGCAAUGCCGCGUGCAGGAUGAAGGCCUUCGGGUUGUAAACUGCUUUUGUACGGAACAAAAAGCAUUGGGUUAAUACACUGGAGUCCGUACGGUACCGUAAGAAUAAGCACCGGCCAACUACGAGCAGGCAGCCGCGGUAAUACGUAGGGUGCAAGCGUUAAUCGGACUUACUGGGCGUAAAGCGUGCGCAGGCGGUUUUGUAAGACAGAGGUGAAAUCCCCGGGCUCAACCUGGGAACUGCCUUUGUGACUGCAAGGCUAGAGUACGGCAGAGGGGGGUGGAAUUCCGCGUGUAGCAGUGAAAUGCGUAGAUAUGCGGAGGAACACCGAUGGCGAAGGCAACCCCCUGGGCCUGUACUGACGCUCAUGCACGAAAGCGUGGGGAGCAAA